GCUUCUGUCAGUUCGUAUUGGAUUUUUCGCAUUGUAUUUAGCUAUGGCUCCAGCUAAAGUGGACUUAACAAAAAAGAAAGACCCCAAAGCCCAGGCUGUCAAGGCUGCCAAGGCUGUUAAGUCUGGAUCAACCUUUAAGAAGAAGUCAAGUAAGAUAAGGACAAAAGUUACUUUCCAUCGACCUAAGACAUUGAAGAAGGAUAGGAAUCCCAAGUA
RNAcentral lists this unclassified non-coding RNA (216 nucleotides) under Hevea brasiliensis (rubber tree). Lineage: Eukaryota; Viridiplantae; Streptophyta; Magnoliopsida; Malpighiales; Euphorbiaceae. The record is from RNAcentral.